This 226-nucleotide long non-coding RNA is filed under the name Elaeis guineensis (African oil palm). Its description in RNAcentral is "long non-coding RNA (EGUI_LNC023177)". The record is from RNAcentral. Lineage: Eukaryota; Viridiplantae; Streptophyta; Magnoliopsida; Arecales; Arecaceae.
GGGGAGAUGUGUUGUUAACUGCUACCUAUAUCCUUAACCGAGUUCUAAUCAAGUUCGUACCUUCUAUCCCAUAUGAGUAGUGGAUUGGUGAAGUCCAAGUCUAGACCACUUGCAUCCUUAAGGAUCAGUUGGAUAUGUUCAUAGCUCCUCACACAAGUAUGAUAAGCUUGGACCAAGGGCCAGUAAGAAGGUGUUCAUUAGGUAUCCUAAGGUUUCCAAAGGAUAC